CCAACAGGGAUCGCCUCAGUAACGGCGAGUGAAGCGGCAACAGCUCAAAUUUGAAAUCUGGUCCUCUCAGGGCCCGAGUUGUAAUUUGGAGAGGAUGCUCGGCUGCGGCCCUGGUCUAAGUUCCUUGGAACAGGACGUCACAGAGGGUGAGAACCCCGUACGUGGCUGGGCGCCUACGCCGUGUGAAGCUCCUUCAACGAGUCGAGUUGUUUGGGAAUGCAGCUCUAAACGGGAGGUAGAUUUCUUCUAAAGCUAAAUACCGGCGAGAGACCGAUAGCGCACAAGUAGAGUGAUCGAAAGAUGAAAAGCACUUUGGAAAGAGAGUUAAAAAGUACGUGAAAUUGUUGAAAGGGAAGCGCUU
This 361-nucleotide ribosomal RNA is filed under the name uncultured fungus. Its description in RNAcentral is "LSU rRNA". It matches the Rfam family "Eukaryotic large subunit ribosomal RNA", at positions 65 to 424 of the family's 3401-position model. Lineage: Eukaryota; Fungi. The record is from RNAcentral.